AGGGGCAUCACGAGGUAGCAAUACUUUGGUGGCGACCGGCGCACGGGUGAGUAACACGUAUCCAACCUGCCGUCUACUCUUGGACAGCCUUCUGAAAGGAAGAUUAAUACAAGAUGGCAUCAUGAGUCCGCAUGUUCACAUGAUUAAAGGUUUACCGGUGUAAGAUGGGGAUGCGUUCCAUUAGAUAGUAGGCGGGGUAACGGCCCACCAAGACUACGAUGGAUAGGGGUUCUGAGAGGAAGGUCCCCACAUUGGAACUGAGACACGGUCCAAACUCC
This 278-nucleotide ribosomal RNA is filed under the name uncultured Bacteroides sp. RNAcentral's name for it is "partial 16S ribosomal RNA". It matches the Rfam family "Bacterial small subunit ribosomal RNA", at positions 65 to 339 of the family's 1533-position model. The record is from RNAcentral. Lineage: Bacteria; Pseudomonadati; Bacteroidota; Bacteroidia; Bacteroidales; Bacteroidaceae.